RNAcentral lists this ribosomal RNA (470 nucleotides) under uncultured bacterium. RNAcentral's name for it is "bacterial SSU rRNA". It matches the Rfam family "Bacterial small subunit ribosomal RNA", at positions 30 to 519 of the family's 1533-position model. The record is from RNAcentral.
AUUGAACGCUGGCGGCAUGCUUUACACAUGCAAGUCGAACGGUAACAGGGUGCUUGCACCGCUGACGAGUGGCGAACGGGUGAGUAAUACAUCGGAAUGUACCCAGUAAUGGGGGAUAACGCUUCGAAAGGAGUGCUAAUACCGCAUACGCCCUGAGGGGGAAAGUGGGGGACCGCAAGGCCUCACGUUAUUGGAGCAGCCGAUGGCUGAUUAGCUAGUUGGUGAGGUAAAGGCUCAUCAAGCCGAUGAUCAGUACCUGGUCUUAGAGGAUGAUCAGGCACACUGGGACUGAGACACGGCCCAGACUCCUACGGGAGGCAGCAGUGGGGAAUAUUGGACAAUGGGCGCAAGCCUGAUCCAGCCAUGCCGCGUGAUUGAAGAAGGCCUUAGGGUUGUAAGAUCUUUGGCGGGGAAGAUAAUGACUGUACCCGCAGAAUAAGACCCCGGCUAACUCCGUGCCAGCAGCCGCG